GAAUUCGCCCUUAGAGUUUGAUCCUGGCUCAGGACGAACGCUGGCGGCGUGCUUAACACAUGCAAGUCGAACGGGAUUUAGUAGACAGGAGCUUCGGUGGAAGAUUACUAAUGAGAGUGGCGAACGGGUGAGUAACGCGUGAGCAACCUGCCUAUGACAGUGGGAUAGCCUCGGGAAACCGGGAUUAAUACCGCAUAAAAUCGUAGAAACACAUGUUUUAGCGGUCAAAGAUUUAUCGGUCAUAGAUGGGCUCGCGUCUGAUUAGCUAGUUGGUGAGAUAACAGCCCACCAAGGCGACGAUCAGUAGCCGGUCUGAGAGGAUGAACGGCCACAUUGGAACUGAGACACGGUCCAAACUCCUACGGGAGGCAGCAGAAGGG
RNAcentral lists this ribosomal RNA (380 nucleotides) under uncultured Finegoldia sp. RNAcentral describes it as "bacterial SSU rRNA". It matches the Rfam family "Bacterial small subunit ribosomal RNA", at positions 1 to 359 of the family's 1533-position model. The record is from RNAcentral. Lineage: Bacteria; Bacillati; Bacillota; Tissierellia; Tissierellales; Peptoniphilaceae.